UACGGGGGGGGCAAGCGUUGUUCGGAAUUACUGGGCGUAAAGGGUUCGUAGGUGGCUUUCUAAGUCAGACGUGAAAUCCCUCAGCUUAACUGGGGAACUGCGUCUGAGACUGGCGAGCUUGAGUGCAGGAGAGGAACGCGGAAUUCCAGGUGUAGCGGUGAAAUGCGUAGAUAUCUGGAGGAACACCGGUGGCGAAGGCGGCGUUCUGGACUGUUACUGACACUGAGGAACGAAAGCCAGGGGAGCAAACGGG
RNAcentral lists this ribosomal RNA (253 nucleotides) under uncultured bacterium. RNAcentral's name for it is "partial 16S ribosomal RNA". It matches the Rfam family "Bacterial small subunit ribosomal RNA", at positions 524 to 776 of the family's 1533-position model. The record is from RNAcentral.